RNAcentral lists this ribosomal RNA (494 nucleotides) under uncultured bacterium. RNAcentral's name for it is "partial 16S ribosomal RNA". It matches the Rfam family "Bacterial small subunit ribosomal RNA", at positions 28 to 507 of the family's 1533-position model. The record is from RNAcentral.
GACGAACGCUGGCGGCGUGCUUAACACAUGCAAGUCGAACGGUCAAGCGCCUUCCUUUUUGGUGGGUGUGGAUGAGUGGCGAACGGGUGAAUAACACGUUAGUAACCUGCCCCCUUCUUCUGGAUAACCGCAUGCAAGUGUUGCUAAUACGGGAUAUUCUGGGUCUGUUGCUUGAUGGGUCUGGGACAGUUAUUGUUUCGGUGGUGGAUGGGCUCGCGGCCUAUCAGCUUGUUGGUGGGGUGAUGGCCUACCAAGGCGGUGACGGGUAGCCGGCCUGAGAGGGUGCACGGACACAGGAGGUCUGAGACACGGCCGAGACUGAUAGGGGGGGCAGCAGGGGGGAAUAUUGCACAAUGGGAGAAAGCGUGAUGCAGCGACGGCGCGGGAGGGAUGGAGGUCUGCGGGUUGUGAACCUCUUUCGCGAGUGAAGCAGGCCUGCCUCGUUUGUGGGUGGGUUGACGGUAGCUGGAUAAGAAGCGCCGGCUAACUACGUG